Molecule: transfer RNA, 72 nt
Filed under: Spirochaetota bacterium
Lineage: Bacteria; Pseudomonadati; Spirochaetota
Description: Spirochaetes bacterium tRNA-Val
Rfam family: tRNA
About the family: Transfer RNA (tRNA) molecules are approximately 80 nucleotides in length.
Source: RNAcentral
GUCCCGCUAGCUCAGCGGUAGAGCAUCUGUACGACAUGCAGAAGGUCCGAGGUUCGAUACCUCGGCGGGACA